UGCACGGUGGUGCAGUUGGUAGCACUGUUGAAUUGCAGCACAAAGGUCCUGGGUUCUACUCCCGGCCGGGGGUCUUUCUGCAU
Non-coding RNA from Ataeniobius toweri, 83 nucleotides. The record is from the annotation of a GenBank genome assembly. Lineage: Eukaryota; Metazoa; Chordata; Actinopteri; Cyprinodontiformes; Goodeidae.